RNAcentral lists this ribosomal RNA (442 nucleotides) under uncultured bacterium. Its description in RNAcentral is "partial 16S ribosomal RNA". It matches the Rfam family "Bacterial small subunit ribosomal RNA", at positions 338 to 795 of the family's 1533-position model. The record is from RNAcentral.
CCUACGGGGUGCAGCAGUGGGGGAUAUUGGACAAUGGGGGGAACCCUGAUCCAGCGACGCCGCGUGAGUGAAGAAGUAUCUCGGUAUGUAAAGCUCUAUCAGCAGGGAAGAAGAAAUGACGGUACCUGCGUCAGAAGCCCCGGCGAACUACGUGCCAGCAGCCGCGGUCAUACGUAGGGGGCAAGCGUUAUCCGGAUUUACUGGGUGUAAAGGGAGCGUAGACGGCAGCGCAAGUCUGGAGUGAAAUCCCAUGGCUUAACCAUGGAACUGCUUUGGAAACUGUGCAGCGAGAGUGCAGGAGAGGUAAGCGGAAUUCCUAGUGUAGCGGUGAAAUGCGUAGAUAUUAGGAGGAACACCAGUGGCGAAGGCGGCUUACUGGACUGUAACUGACGUUGAGGCUCGAAAGCGUGGGGAGCAAACAGGAUUAGAUACCCUUGUAGUC